UACAUAGGGUGCAAGCGUUGUUCGGAAUUAUUGGGCGUAAAGCGCGUGUAGGCGGCUUUGCAAGUCGGGUGUGAAAGCCCUCAGCUCAACUGAGGAAGUGCGCCCGAAACUGCAGAGCUUGAGUACCGGAGAGGAUGGCGGAAUUCCCCAAGUAGAGGUGAAAUUCGUAGAUAUGGGGAGGAACACCGGUGGCGAAGGCGGCCAUCUGGACGGAUACUGACGCUGAGACGCGAAAGCGUGGGGAGCAAACAGG
RNAcentral lists this ribosomal RNA (253 nucleotides) under uncultured bacterium. Its description in RNAcentral is "partial 16S ribosomal RNA". It matches the Rfam family "Bacterial small subunit ribosomal RNA", at positions 524 to 776 of the family's 1533-position model. The record is from RNAcentral.